RNAcentral lists this small RNA (256 nucleotides) under Mycoplasmoides pneumoniae M129. RNAcentral describes it as "Mycoplasma pneumoniae M129 ncRNA". Lineage: Bacteria; Bacillati; Mycoplasmatota; Mycoplasmoidales; Mycoplasmoidaceae. The record is from RNAcentral.
AUUCCUGAAAUUGUUCUUGGGUAACGUAUUUAACUUUCACAGGUGGUUUAAGUUUAUAUUUUCGCAAUUCAUAAGUUCAAACUCCAACUGUGCCAUCACCGUACUCUUCUUUUUCACCAUCAAAGUGUUCUUUUCCAAUUUUACGGAUUAAGGCUUUGUAUUCCUUUUCGGAAAUUUUUUCUUUCAUUAAGUAAUACCUCCUUUCUUUUUACAGAGGUUGAGAAAACUACUACUUGCAGCAGUGCUGCCAACUAAG